This 382-nucleotide long non-coding RNA is filed under the name Gossypium barbadense (sea-island cotton). RNAcentral describes it as "long non-coding RNA (GBAR_LNC016171)". The record is from RNAcentral. Lineage: Eukaryota; Viridiplantae; Streptophyta; Magnoliopsida; Malvales; Malvaceae.
UUCAGUGUUCCAGGAAGCUUAAGAUUAUAUGUGGUCCAAUUGGUUUAGUCUUGCCAUAGCUGUAAAGCCAAUUAGCAAACUUUUUCUAAUGUAAAAAUCUAAUAGGCGGUUACAAUAAAUCAAGCAUGUCAUGUUAGCUCCAAGGACGUUUCCUUCAACCCUGGAGACUUGUUAGAGAAGCUUGUCUGCCCAUGGAUUCAGCAGCAGUUCGAAAGGUUGCUCUAUGGAAAACUGUGCAGGAAGGCCCACCAACCCGCACGAUAAGGUUAUGGACAGCAAGGCUAAGCAAAGCAGACCAUGUCAGGGCAGCCAGAGAACCCAAGAGCAGUCUUAGCAUACACAAUGAAUCAAAAGCAACUCCUAGAGAAAAAAUAUUGAUGCU